Molecule: ribosomal RNA, 231 nt
Filed under: Triticum aestivum (bread wheat)
Lineage: Eukaryota; Viridiplantae; Streptophyta; Magnoliopsida; Poales; Poaceae
Description: partial small subunit ribosomal RNA
Source: RNAcentral
AUGGCGAGAUAUUGGUGGGAUGGGAUCCUCACCAACAAUGCGCAGCCAAGGAAAGCCUUGGCCUCCUUACUCCAUCUUGUAGGCUGGGAGAUUUGGAAGGAAUGGAAUGCACGUGUAUUUAGGGAAAAGGCGGUGCCUGUAUUGGUGAUCGUGCAUGCUAUUAAAGAGGAGACAUCUAUGUGGGCUCUGGUGGGCGCUAGACAUUUGUGUAAUUUGAUGCCGCGAAAGUAG